AAGUAAAAAAGCUGUAGUCCUGAAUCCAGACAUAAUUCCCCAAAAACUUUUGGAGUUUCUCCUUCCAAGGUUUUUCAAGGUCUCAAGGACACCUGAGGCACCGAUGGAUGGGGAGCCUUCCAGGCCAUCAU
This 131-nucleotide long non-coding RNA is filed under the name Sus scrofa (pig). RNAcentral's name for it is "lncRNA (ENSSSCG00015023894.1)". The record is from RNAcentral. Lineage: Eukaryota; Metazoa; Chordata; Mammalia; Artiodactyla; Suidae.